AGAGUUUGAUCCUGGCUCAGGAUGAACGCUGGCGGUCUGCUUAACACAUGCAAGUCGAACGGAGUACUUCGGUACUUAGUGGCGGACGGGUGAGUAACGCGUGAGGAUCUGCCCUCAGGAGGGGGACAACGACUGGAAACGGUCGCUAAUACCCCAUAUGCCGAGAGGUGAAAUGUUUUUUCGCCUGAGGAUGAGCUCGCGUCAGAUUAGCUAGUUGGUGGGGUAACGGCCUACCAAGGCGACGAUCUGUAGCUGGUCUGAGAGGAUGAUCAGCCACACUGGGACUGAGACGCGGCCCAGACUCCUACGGGAAGCAGCAGUGGGGAAUUUUCCGCAAUGGGCGAAAGCCUGACGGAGCAAGACCGCGUGAGGGAUGACGGCCUAAUGGUUGUAAACCUCUUUUCUCUGGGAAGAUAAUGACGGUACCAGAGGAAUAAGCCUCGGCUAACUCCGUGCCAGCAGCCGCGGUAAUACGGAGGAGGCAAGCGUUAUCCGGAAUUAUUGGGCGUAAAGCGUCCGUAGGUGGUUAAUCAAGUCAGCUGUUAAAGAGCGGAGCUUAACUCCGUUAGAGCGGUUGAAACUGAUUGACUAGAGUUUGGUAGGGGUCGAGGGAAUUCCCAGUGUAGCGGUGAAAUGCGUAGAUAUUGGGAAGAACACCGGUGGCGAAAGCGCUCGACUGGGCCUGAACUGACACUGAGGGACGAAAGCUAGGGGAGCGAAAGGGAUUAGAUACCCCUGCAGUCCUAG
Molecule: ribosomal RNA, 747 nt
Filed under: cyanobacterium enrichment culture clone 3_RT_3.5.3_B04-T7
Lineage: Bacteria; Bacillati; Cyanobacteriota
Description: bacterial SSU rRNA
Rfam family: Bacterial small subunit ribosomal RNA
Source: RNAcentral